Non-coding RNA from Taeniopygia guttata (zebra finch), 1406 nucleotides. The record is from RefSeq and is a predicted model, not a curated record. Lineage: Eukaryota; Metazoa; Chordata; Aves; Passeriformes; Estrildidae.
AUCAAAAUUAAAAGGAAACACACUUGACCUCAGCUGGAAGUUGGUGCAUUUAAAAUAGGGGAUGGUGCUUUUUUGCAACCUGCCUAAGAAGUUUGCUAAUGCCCCUGAUUUAUUAUAGAGGCCGAGAGAAACAGCUUUGCACAGCAGGAUAAGCAUGCUUUUGACUUGGUUCCAGGUAUGACAAUAGCUGAGAGCCAUCAAAAGUAGGAAGAAAAUAGCUGCCAACGGUUCUGUCUGACUUGGAUGAUCCUGAUUUUCCUCUUGCUCUGUCAAACCCUGCUCGCUCAGUCCUUUCUGAUGGAAUUGAGGACAGAACGUCCUUCUGAGAGCAGCUUUUGUUGCUAUCAGCAUUGAACUGUGCUUUCCUUGUAGGAUAUGCAGAGUCCUGGGAAGAGAACUCUCUCUCCUCUGCCUUCCCGUGCUUCUCCAAGAGGGAAUGCUGAGUACUGAGCACAGGCAGUGGGCUGGACCUCUGAGUUUCACAGGAUGCCAGCAGACAGCAGCAAUAUUCACAGACAAUAUUCAGGAAAAAGGUUUGCCAUUGGAAGUCACUGAAGAAAUAUUGUCUCCUGCUCCCGACUAUGGCAACUGGAAUUAGCAGACCAAUCCUUUUCUUCCCUUCUCCUUGAAAAGGACAAUGGGAGGCCAGGACACCACCUUUAUCUGAAGGCUUAUAUUGAAACUGAACAAGCAGUCCAUGAUUUUGAAGGAGAGGAUGAGGGCUUUUUCCCUUACCUGAGGAAUCCGCUCUUGAACUGAAGACCACAGCCUUUAAAAGCCUGGAGUGGUGAUGCCUGUCUCUCAGAAAUCUAUGCAGUUGCAAAGUUCCUCCUGGAGUCAGAAAACAAUGCACCCAGCUAUGCCAAUCCAUGGAAAUCACUGGUUGUGUUUAUCCAGCAAUUAAAGGGGGAUUACAGCCGCUUCAGAGCUCGGCAUCCCGUCCCUCCCCUGCCACACCGGGAGCCUCAAAGCCGCAUUGUUCCCGCAGCCGCCGGCGGCAGCCCGGGCCAAGGAGGGAUGGGAGAGGGGAGCUCCUGCCGGGAGCAGGUACAGACAACCGACAAACAGCGAAACAAAGGGCAAAGCGCGGGGCAAGGAACCGGAGGCUCGCUCUCUUCUUCCCGAGGUGUUUCCCUGCCCAUCCUCGGUACGGGGCGGCAGGAAGGGAAACGUCCCCGCCAAGCCCCCCUGGCAAUCAUCCCGCGGGGGAUGUGCCGGGCAGGGCUGUCCCGGUGCUGGGAGCGCUGAUUGUGCGGGAAGGGAUCCCUUUGGAGGCGGCAUCCCCAGGGCCAGGGCCCCUGCUCUGCUCGGAGCUCCGGUUGGGGUGAAGCAGGGGCAAACGUGUGUCCCUUUGAGCAGGAUCCCUUUGAGAGAAUCCCUUUGGGAGGUUCCCUUUGAGCAGGAUC